Molecule: ribosomal RNA, 926 nt
Filed under: Hebeloma lacteocoffeatum
Lineage: Eukaryota; Fungi; Basidiomycota; Agaricomycetes; Agaricales; Hymenogastraceae
Description: partial large subunit ribosomal RNA
Rfam family: Eukaryotic large subunit ribosomal RNA
Source: RNAcentral
AUAUCAAUAAGCGGGGAAAAGAAACUAACAAGGAUUCCCCUAGUAACUGCGAGUGAAGCGGGAAAAGCUCAAAUUUAAAAUCUGGCAGUCUCUGGCUGUCCGAGUUGUAAUCUAGAGAAGUGUUAUCCGCGCUGAACCGUGUACAAGUCUCCUGGAAUGGAGCGUCAUAGAGGGUGAGAAUCCCGUCUUUGACACGGACUACCAGGGCUUUGUGAUGCGCUCUCAAAGAGUCGAGUUGUUUGGGAAUGCAGCUCAAAAUGGGUGGUAAAUUCCAUCUAAAGCUAAAUAUUGGCGAGAGACCGAUAGCGAACAAGUACCGUGAGGGAAAGAUGAAAAGAACUUUGGAAAGAGAGUUAAACAGUACGUGAAAUUGCUGAAAGGGAAACGCUUGAAGUCAGUCGCGUUGACCGGGGAUCAACCUUGCUUUUGCUGGGCGUACUUUCCGGUUGACGGGUCAGCAUCAAUUUUGACCAUUGGAUAAAGUCCAGGGGAAUGUGGCAUCUUCGGAUGUGUUAUAGCCCUUAGUCGCAUACAAUGGCUGGGAUUGAGGAACUCAGCACGCCGCAAGGCCGGGUACUUGUACCACGUUCGUGCUUAGGAUGCUGGCAUAAUGGCUUUAAUCGACCCGUCUUGAAACACGGACCAAGGAGUCUAACAUGCCUGCGAGUGUUUGGGUGGAAAACUCGGACGCGUAAUGAAAGUGAAAGUUGAGAUCCCUGUCGUGGGGAGCAUCGACGCCCGGACCAGACCUUUUGUGACGGAUCCGCGGUAGAGCAUGUAUGUUGGGACCCGAAAGAUGGUGAACUAUGCCUGAAUAGGGUGAAGCCAGAGGAAACUCUGGUGGAGGCUCGUAGCGAUUCUGACGUGCAAAUCGAUCGUCAAAUUUGGGUAUAGGGGCGAAAGACUAAUCGAACCAUCUAGUAGCU